Molecule: long non-coding RNA, 499 nt
Organism: Cryptomeria japonica (Japanese cedar)
Lineage: Eukaryota; Viridiplantae; Streptophyta; Pinopsida; Cupressales; Cupressaceae
Exons: 2
Source: RefSeq, a predicted model, not a curated record
UUUACUGUGUUUGAAUUUUAUCAUGAUGCUAAUUGCUAACUAAAUGAAUUAAGCUAGAUAAGAAUCGUUUCAUUGUGCUUUCAAUGGUUGUUUCAACUCAGGUGUCUUGUUUGUAUAUGCUAGAUCCAUAUUCCUUACUAGUUUUUUUUAACCUUAUAUCUCCCUUUUUGUUUGUUCACUGAGAUUCCUUCCAUUUGACAAUUUGACCUCUUGAUUAUCAAAGAAGGGGCCAAGGAGCUCAUUGUUUCUGAUUUAUCAUAGGGCACUAGUAAGGCAACUCAAUGCAAUGUGCUUAAGGAUGAAAAUGGUUCUUUUCCUGAUGCAAUUCAAAAACUGAUGAACAACAUUUACUUCACAGGAAUGGAGUGUUGAAUUUCUUUUAUUUUUAGGAUUGUUGCCCAUGCUAUCAGUAUAAAGCUUUGUAAGUAUUUGUGUUGAAGUGUGUGCUAUUAUACUGAAAAAUGGUAUAGAUAUUUUUUCUCUUUCUUUCUUUUUCUUA